AUACAAAGGACUUCCCUAGUAUCGUUGGACCAACAAGCACAAGCAGAUGGCAGGAAGAUUAGAACAUUGGAUAUUGAUUGCCAGUUUUUAAGGUGUCUUUCCGAUAGCCGUUCCUGGUGAGACAUCCUCUUUAUAUAAAACCUGGGCAUUCAGAAUCAGGACAGUGUUAACACAGAAGAAAAGAAAACCCAGCAGUUCCUGGAGAAAGACUAGGACACAUGGCUUUUGUGAAAACAAGACACUAGACGAUGUUCCCAGGCAAGUGCCAGAGCAUCGCACCUGACAUUUCCAUGUCAGUAUCAGUGACUCAGACCAGUUAUACAACAUGGAUCUUUCCAGAUCUUAAGAUUUCUUCUAAGAUUGUGGUAUACCAUACUAACACAGGAUGAGAAGAGCCAGGAAAUGUUGAUUAACAACAAAAC
This 422-nucleotide long non-coding RNA is filed under the name Homo sapiens (human). Its description in RNAcentral is "HSALNT0041522". The record is from RNAcentral. Lineage: Eukaryota; Metazoa; Chordata; Mammalia; Primates; Hominidae.